UGGGGAAUAUUGGACAAUGGGCGAAAGCCUGAUCCAGCAAUUCCGCGUGUGUGAAGAAGGCCUUCGGGUUGUAAAGCACUUUAGUGGGGGAAGAAACAGCUUGGCCACACCAAGCCUUGACGGUACCCCAAGAAUAAGCACCGGCUAACUCUGUGCCAGCAGCCGCGGUAAUACAGAGGGUGCAAGCGUUAAUCGGAUUUACUGGGCGUAAAGGGUGCGUAGGUGGUUUUGUAAGUCGGAUGUGAAAGCCUGGGGCUCAACCUCAGAAUUGCAUUCGAUACUGGGAAACUAGAGUUCGGUAGAGGGCGGCGGAAUUUCCGGUGUAGCGGUGAAAUGCGUAGAUAUCGGAAGGAACAUCAAUGGCGAAGGCAGCCGCCUGGGCCUGGACUGACACUGAGGCACGAAAGCGUGGGUAGCAAACA
Molecule: ribosomal RNA, 422 nt
Filed under: uncultured bacterium
Lineage: Bacteria
Description: partial 16S ribosomal RNA
Rfam family: Bacterial small subunit ribosomal RNA
Source: RNAcentral